RNAcentral lists this ribosomal RNA (212 nucleotides) under Salmonella enterica subsp. enterica serovar Anatum. RNAcentral describes it as "partial 16S ribosomal RNA". It matches the Rfam family "Bacterial small subunit ribosomal RNA", at positions 1304 to 1515 of the family's 1533-position model. The record is from RNAcentral. Lineage: Bacteria; Pseudomonadati; Pseudomonadota; Gammaproteobacteria; Enterobacterales; Enterobacteriaceae.
UCUGCAACUCGACUCCAUGAAGUCGGAAUCGCUAGUAAUCGUGGAUCAGAAUGCCACGGUGAAUACGUUCCCGGGCCUUGUACACACCGCCCGUCACACCAUGGGAGUGGGUUGCAAAAGAAGUAGGUAGCUUAACCUUCGGGAGGGCGCUUACCACUUUGUGAUUCAUGACUGGGGUGAAGUCGUAACAAGGUAACCGUAGGGGAACCUGC